Molecule: ribosomal RNA, 503 nt
Filed under: uncultured bacterium
Lineage: Bacteria
Description: partial 16S ribosomal RNA
Rfam family: Bacterial small subunit ribosomal RNA
Source: RNAcentral
AUUGAACGCUGGCGGCAGGCUUAACACAUGCAAGUCGAGCGGGGUGAUGGUGCUUGCACUAUCACUUAGCGGCGGACGGGUGAGUAAUGCUUAGGAAUCUGCCUAUUAGUGGGGGACAACAUCUCGAAAGGGAUGCUAAUACCGCAUACGUCCUACGGGAGAAAGCAGGGGAUCACUUGUGACCUUGCGCUAAUAGAUGAGCCUAAGGCGGAUUAGCUAGUUGGUGGGGUAAAGGCCUACCAAGGCGACGAUCUGUAGCGGGUCUGAGAGGAUGAUCCGCCACACUGGGACUGGGACACGGCCCAGACUCCUACGGGAGGCAGCAGUGGGGAAUAUUGGACAAUGGGGGGAACCCUGAUUCAGCCAUGCCGCGUGUGUGAAGAAGGCCUUAUGGUUGUAAAGCACUUUAAGCGAGGAGGAGGCUCUUUUGGUUAAUACCCAAGAUGAGUGGACGUUACUCGCAGAAUAAGCACCGGCUAACUCUGUGCCAGCCGCCGCCGUAA